RNAcentral lists this ribosomal RNA (204 nucleotides) under uncultured bacterium. RNAcentral describes it as "partial 16S ribosomal RNA". It matches the Rfam family "Bacterial small subunit ribosomal RNA", at positions 1290 to 1500 of the family's 1533-position model. The record is from RNAcentral.
AGUUCGGAUCGCAGUCUGCAACUCGACUGCGUGAAGGUGGAGUCGCUAGUAAUCGCGGAUCAGCAACGCCGCGGUGAAUGACGUUCCCGGGCCUUGUACACACCGCCCGUCAAGUCAUGAAAGCCGGGAGUGCCUGAAGUGCGUGACCGCAAGGAGCGUCCUAAGGCAAUACCGGUGACUGGGGCUAAGUCGUAACAAGGUACC